RNAcentral lists this microRNA precursor (163 nucleotides) under Marmota monax (woodchuck). Lineage: Eukaryota; Metazoa; Chordata; Mammalia; Rodentia; Sciuridae. The record is from RNAcentral.
GUGAAUACACUCUCUCUCCCUCCCUCUCUCUCUCUCUCUCUCUCUCUCCCUCACACACUCACACACACACACACACACACACAUAGGGAGGGAGGGAGGGAGGGAGGGGGAGAGGGAGAGAGGGAGAGAGAGAGAGAGAGAGAGAGAGAGAGAGAGAGAGAGA